Molecule: small RNA, 28 nt
Filed under: Bombyx mori (domestic silkworm)
Lineage: Eukaryota; Metazoa; Arthropoda; Insecta; Lepidoptera; Bombycidae
Description: ovarian small RNA-22546
Source: RNAcentral
UAGCUGUGGUAACGCCUUGUGUUCCAGG